This 253-nucleotide ribosomal RNA is filed under the name uncultured bacterium. RNAcentral's name for it is "partial 16S ribosomal RNA". It matches the Rfam family "Bacterial small subunit ribosomal RNA", at positions 524 to 776 of the family's 1533-position model. The record is from RNAcentral. RNAcentral also lists the same sequence under 1 other name.
UACGUACUGUGCGAACGUUAUUCGGAAUCACUGGGCUUAAAGGGUGUGUAGGCGGCCAGCUAAGUAGGGUGUGAAAGGCCUCGGCUCAACCGAGGCAUUGCGCUCUAAACUGACUGGCUUGAGUGAGAUAGGGGUGUGCGGAACUUCCAGUGGAGCGGUGAAAUGUGUUGAUAUUGGAAGGAACGCCGGUGGCGAAAGCGGCACACUGGGUCUUGUCUGACGCUGAGACACGAAAGCCAGGGGAGCGAACGGG